NNNNNNNNNNNNNNNNNNNNNNNNNGGGGACAUGGGGACACAGGGGGGACAUGGGGACACCCCAGCUUCAUGUCCCCAGUGUCCCUAGGGGACAUGGGGACACCCCCGCACCAUGUCCCCAAAGGUCCCCAGUGUCCCUUGGGGGACAUGGGGACACAGGAGGGACAUGGGGACACCCCAGUCUCAUGUCCCCAGUGAGACACGGGGACAUAAGAGGGACAGGGACACCCUGGAUCCUUGUCCCCGGUGGGGACACAGGGACACAGGGGGACAGAGACACCCCAGCUUCAUGUCCCCAAGGGUCCCUUGGGGGACAUGGGGACAUGCGAGGGACAUGGGGACACCCCGGAUCUGUGUCCUCUGGGGGACAACGGACUCCAGGAGGGGACAAGGACACCCCGGUGGCAUGUCCUAGCCAUGACACGGGAGGGACAGGGACACCCUGGAUCAAUGUCACGGAGGGGACAAGGGACAUGGGGAUGCGGGGACAUCCCGGCUCUGCGUCCUCUGGGACGGAUCGGGACGAGGGAGGCCAGGGAGGGGACACGGUCCUGCGGUGACACAGCGGGGACAUGGGGACACCCCGGGUCCAUGUCCCCAGGGGUUCCCAGUGUCCCUGGGGGACAUGGGGACACCCCAGCAGCAUGUCCCCAAGGGCUCCCCAGUGUCCCCAGGGGACAUGGAGACACAAGGGGGACACGGGGACGUAAGAGGGACGUGGGGACACCUGGCUCCAUGUCCCCGUGGGUUCCCAGUGUCCACAGGGAGGGACAUGGGGACAUGGGAAGGACAUGGGGACACACCAGCCUCAUGUCCCUUAGUGGCCCUUGGGGACAUGGAGACGCACGAGGGACAUGGGGACAGCUGGACCCAUGUCCCCAAGGGUCCACCCAGUGUCCUUUGGGGGACAUGGGGACACAGGAAGGACAUGGGGACAUCGUGGAUCCAUGUCUCCAGGGGUUCCCCAGUGUCCCUGGGCGACAUGGGGACACAGAAGGGACAUGGGGACACCCUGGAUCCAUGUCCCCAGGGGUUCCCCAGUGUCCCUGGGGGACAUGGGGACACGAGGAGGACAUGGGGACAUCCUGGAUCUGUGUCCCCAAGGGGUUCCCAGUGUCCCUGGGGGACAUGGGGACACAAGAGGGACAUGGGGACACCCCUGCAUCAUGUCCCCAGGGGUUCCCAAUGUCCCUGGGGGACAUGGGGACACCUCUGAAUCAUGUCCCCAAGGGUCCCCAGUGUCCCCUGGGGGACAAGGGGACACAAGAGGGACAUGGGGACAUGCUGGAUCUGUGUCCCCAAGGGUUCCCCAGUGUCCCUGGAGGACACGAGGACACGAGGGUGACACCGGGGACACCCCAGAUCCAUGUCCCUACGGGUUCCCAGUGUCCAGGGGACACCAGAGGGGCGUGGGGACACCCCCAACCCCAUGUCCCCAAGGGACACGGGGGACACCUCAGCUCUGUCCCUACGAUUCCCCCAGCGUCCCUGGGGGACACGGGGUGGGGGGAUGACAACGGGGACACCCAAGGGUCCCCUGGGGCAGCG
Molecule: long non-coding RNA, 1548 nt
Organism: Anser cygnoides (Swan goose)
Lineage: Eukaryota; Metazoa; Chordata; Aves; Anseriformes; Anatidae
Source: Ensembl